Molecule: ribosomal RNA, 2506 nt
Filed under: Pseudomonas aeruginosa CIG1
Lineage: Bacteria; Pseudomonadati; Pseudomonadota; Gammaproteobacteria; Pseudomonadales; Pseudomonadaceae
Description: bacterial LSU rRNA
Rfam family: Bacterial large subunit ribosomal RNA
Source: RNAcentral
UCAAGUGAAGAAGCGCAUACGGUGGAUGCCUUGGCAGUCAGAGGCGAUGAAAGACGUGGUAGCCUGCGAAAAGCUUCGGGGAGUCGGCAAACAGACUUUGAUCCGGAGAUCUCUGAAUGGGGGAACCCACCUAGGAUAACCUAGGUAUCUUGUACUGAAUCCAUAGGUGCAAGAGGCGAACCAGGGGAACUGAAACAUCUAAGUACCCUGAGGAAAAGAAAUCAACCGAGAUUCCCUUAGUAGUGGCGAGCGAACGGGGAUUAGCCCUUAAGCUUCAUUGAUUUUAGCGGAACGCUCUGGAAAGUGCGGCCAUAGUGGGUGAUAGCCCCGUACGCGAAAGGAUCUUUGAAGUGAAAUCGAGUAGGACGGAGCACGAGAAACUUUGUCUGAACAUGGGGGGACCAUCCUCCAAGGCUAAAUACUACUGACUGACCGAUAGUGAACCAGUACCGUGAGGGAAAGGCGAAAAGAACCCCGGAGAGGGGAGUGAAAUAGAACCUGAAACCGUAUGCGUACAAGCAGUGGGAGCCUACUUGUUAGGUGACUGCGUACCUUUUGUAUAAUGGGUCAGCGACUUAUAUUCAGUGGCAAGCUUAACCGUAUAGGGUAGGCGUAGCGAAAGCGAGUCUUAAUAGGGCGUUUAGUCGCUGGGUAUAGACCCGAAACCGGGCGAUCUAUCCAUGAGCAGGUUGAAGGUUAGGUAACACUGACUGGAGGACCGAACCCACUCCCGUUGAAAAGGUAGGGGAUGACUUGUGGAUCGGAGUGAAAGGCUAAUCAAGCUCGGAGAUAGCUGGUUCUCCUCGAAAGCUAUUUAGGUAGCGCCUCAUGUAUCACUCUGGGGGGUAGAGCACUGUUUCGGCUAGGGGGUCAUCCCGACUUACCAAACCGAUGCAAACUCCGAAUACCCAGAAGUGCCGAGCAUGGGAGACACACGGCGGGUGCUAACGUCCGUCGUGAAAAGGGAAACAACCCAGACCGCCAGCUAAGGUCCCAAAGUUGUGGUUAAGUGGUAAACGAUGUGGGAAGGCUUAGACAGCUAGGAGGUUGGCUUAGAAGCAGCCACCCUUUAAAGAAAGCGUAAUAGCUCACUAGUCGAGUCGGCCUGCGCGGAAGAUGUAACGGGGCUCAAACCACACACCGAAGCUGCGGGUGUCACGUAAGUGACGCGGUAGAGGAGCGUUCUGUAAGCCUGUGAAGGUGAGUUGAGAAGCUUGCUGGAGGUAUCAGAAGUGCGAAUGCUGACAUGAGUAACGACAAUGGGUGUGAAAAACACCCACGCCGAAAGACCAAGGGUUCCUGCGCAACGUUAAUCGACGCAGGGUUAGUCGGUUCCUAAGGCGAGGCUGAAAAGCGUAGUCGAUGGGAAACAGGUUAAUAUUCCUGUACUUCUGGUUACUGCGAUGGAGGGACGGAGAAGGCUAGGCCAGCUUGGCGUUGGUUGUCCAAGUUUAAGGUGGUAGGCUGAAAUCUUAGGUAAAUCCGGGGUUUCAAGGCCGAGAGCUGAUGACGAGUCGUCUUUUAGAUGACGAAGUGGUUGAUGCCAUGCUUCCAAGAAAAGCUUCUAAGCUUCAGGUAACCAGGAACCGUACCCCAAACCGACACAGGUGGUCGGGUAGAGAAUACCAAGGCGCUUGAGAGAACUCGGGUGAAGGAACUAGGCAAAAUGGCACCGUAACUUCGGGAGAAGGUGCGCCGGCUAGGGUGAAGGAUUUACUCCGUAAGCUCUGGCUGGUCGAAGAUACCAGGCCGCUGCGACUGUUUAUUAAAAACACAGCACUCUGCAAACACGAAAGUGGACGUAUAGGGUGUGACGCCUGCCCGGUGCCGGAAGGUUAAUUGAUGGGGUUAGCGCAAGCGAAGCUCUUGAUCGAAGCCCCGGUAAACGGCGGCCGUAACUAUAACGGUCCUAAGGUAGCGAAAUUCCUUGUCGGGUAAGUUCCGACCUGCACGAAUGGCGUAACGAUGGCGGCGCUGUCUCCACCCGAGACUCAGUGAAAUUGAAAUCGCUGUGAAGAUGCAGUGUAUCCGCGGCUAGACGGAAAGACCCCGUGAACCUUUACUGUAGCUUUGCACUGGACUUUGAGCCUGCUUGUGUAGGAUAGGUGGGAGGCUUUGAAGCGUGGACGCCAGUUCGCGUGGAGCCAUCCUUGAAAUACCACCCUGGCAUGCUUGAGGUUCUAACUCUGGUCCGUGAUCCGGAUCGAGGACAGUGUAUGGUGGGCAGUUUGACUGGGGCGGUCUCCUCCUAAAGAGUAACGGAGGAGUACGAAGGUGCGCUCAGACCGGUCGGAAAUCGGUCGCAGAGUAUAAAGGCAAAAGCGCGCUUGACUGCGAGACAGACACGUCGAGCAGGUACGAAAGUAGGUCUUAGUGAUCCGGUGGUUCUGUAUGGAAGGGCCAUCGCUCAACGGAUAAAAGGUACUCCGGGGAUAACAGGCUGAUACCGCCCAAGAGUUCAUAUCGACGGCGGUGUUUGGCACCUCGAUGUCGGCUCAUCACAUCC